UACGUAGGGGGCAAGCGUUGUCCGGAUUCAUUGGGCGUAAAGAGCGUGUAGGCGGCCAGGUAGGUCGGUUGUGAAAACUGGAGGCUCAACCUUCAGAGGUCGACCGAAACCAUCUGGCUAGAGUCCGGGAGAGGAGAGUGGAAUUCCUGGUGUAGCGGUGAAAUGCGCAGAUAUCAGGAAGAACACCCGUGGCGAAAGCGGCUCUCUGGAACGGUACUGACGCUGAGACGCGAAAAGCGUGGGGAGCGAACAGG
This 254-nucleotide ribosomal RNA is filed under the name uncultured bacterium. Its description in RNAcentral is "partial 16S ribosomal RNA". It matches the Rfam family "Bacterial small subunit ribosomal RNA", at positions 524 to 776 of the family's 1533-position model. The record is from RNAcentral.